This 469-nucleotide ribosomal RNA is filed under the name uncultured bacterium. RNAcentral describes it as "partial 16S ribosomal RNA". It matches the Rfam family "Bacterial small subunit ribosomal RNA", at positions 28 to 507 of the family's 1533-position model. The record is from RNAcentral.
GAUGAACGCUAGCGGCGUGCUUAACACAUGCAAGUCGAACGGUGAAGCUCCAGCUUGCUGGAGUGGAUCAGUGGCGAACGGGUGAGUAACACGUGAGCAACCUGCCCCUGACUCUGGGAUAACAGCCGGAAACGGCUGCUAAUACCGGAUAUGCACCAUGAACGCAUGUUCUGUGGUGGGAAAGAUUUUUCGGUUGGGGAUGGGCUCGCGGCCUAUCAGCUUGUUGGUGAGGUAAUGGCUCACCAAGGCGUCGACGGGUAGCCGGCCUGAGAGGGUGACCGGCCACACUGGGACUGAGACACGGCCCAGACUCCUACGGGAGGCAGCAGUGGGGAAUAUUGCACAAUGGGCGAAAGCCUGAUGCAGCAACGCCGCGUGAGGGAUGACGGCCUUCGGGUUGUAAACCUCUUUUAGCAGGGAAGAAGCGAGAGUGACGGUACCUGCAGAAAAAGCGCCGGCUAACUACGUG